Ixodes scapularis (black-legged tick) is the source of this 127-nucleotide long non-coding RNA. RefSeq lists it as uncharacterized. The transcript has 3 exons. Lineage: Eukaryota; Metazoa; Arthropoda; Arachnida; Ixodida; Ixodidae. The record is from RefSeq and is a predicted model, not a curated record.
CAACUGAAAAGGCAUUUGACGACCCCCGGGCUGCUUGCAAUCACUUCGAGGUUUCCUGCAAGUGCCGAGAAACCCUCGACAUCUGACUGCAACACCCCUGAAAAGGCAUUUGACGACGCCUUGGCUG